Molecule: RNA transcript, 939 nt
Organism: Theobroma cacao (cacao)
Lineage: Eukaryota; Viridiplantae; Streptophyta; Magnoliopsida; Malvales; Malvaceae
Gene name: chaperonin 60 subunit beta
Source: RefSeq, a predicted model, not a curated record
CAAAACAAAAAACCAGAAACAGAACGAAAAAUAACUGCCAAUUUUUUGACGUCAGAACAAUUUUUAGAAGCUUUCCAAAUGCCAAAGUUACAUGUGUUAUCGUAUCUGAGCUACUUGUGACCUGUCUUGGAUUCUCUUCUCGCGUGGCCCAUAUCAUAAAGUAGAGGUGGGGGGCGGGGGAAUGGGAUGAGAGAUUCUUCCAUUUCUGUCUUUCAGGCUUUCUUACAAGAACUGAAAAGAAAGAAAACCCCUGUUCGGAUUUCCCUCUUUUAUCUUGAAAUCUCAAGCAAUCUUCACCACCUAGAGUGAGGAAACGAUGGUGGUAUUGCUGUGGUUAAGCUUGCAGUCCAUCAUCGAUUUGGUGGUCGCUGGGAUUUCUCUGAUGAUUGGGUUGGGGAUUUUUGCCUUCAUUGCUUCUGUUCUUUGCUCUGCUGCUUUCUUGCACCAUGCCAAAAGUGCCUCUUAAUUUCAUGUUUCAAUGCUCGGAUGAUGCUGAUAAUGGUGAAGCAAUUGAUGUAGCAACAUUUUGUUGGAGAAUAGUUACAAAUACAAUCACUAUUGGUAUCACUGGCCUUCCUGACCACCAUGGCAGGCUGGGGUGCUAACAUCCAGAGUCCUGCAAUUAGAAGCUAUGCAUUCCCCCACAGCCCACCACUCCUCCAAGAAAGGUGUCGAAAGUGGUAAAUCAGCAGCAAGUUUGAAAGCGCAGUUUGUUGUUUCUUGGGGAAAAAGUUCCUUUGAAGCGGACUCGAUGGUGGAUGGGUUGUGAUCUCAGUCUUUAUGUAUCUAAAUUGACAGUGUAGGAACUCCACCUGUACUCAACAAUAAAAGCUUUCAUUGCAACGAAUUGAACUGUGGUUGAGAUGAAGGCAGUUUUCCUUUGAUAUACUUUGGUAUACAUCUGCUAUAUUAUACCCUGCACAAUUACAGAAGAUUCAA